UACCAGCACCCCGAGUGGUCGGAACGUUUAUUGGGCCUAAAGCAUCCGUAGCCGGUUCUACAAGUCUUCCGUUAAAUCCACCUGCUCAACAGAUGGGCUGCGGAAGAUACUAUGGAGCUAGGAGGCGGGAGAGGCAAGCGGUACUCGAUGGGUAGGGGUAAAAUCCGUUGAUCCAUUGAAGACCACCAGUGGCGAAGGCGGCUUGCCAGAACGCGCUCGACGGUGAGGGAUGAAAGCUGGGGGAGCAAACCGG
This 253-nucleotide ribosomal RNA is filed under the name uncultured bacterium. Its description in RNAcentral is "partial 16S ribosomal RNA". It matches the Rfam family "Archaeal small subunit ribosomal RNA", at positions 474 to 727 of the family's 1478-position model. The record is from RNAcentral.